RNAcentral lists this ribosomal RNA (274 nucleotides) under uncultured bacterium. Its description in RNAcentral is "partial 16S ribosomal RNA". It matches the Rfam family "Bacterial small subunit ribosomal RNA", at positions 523 to 796 of the family's 1533-position model. The record is from RNAcentral.
AUACGGAGGGGGCUAGCGUUGUUCGGAAUUACUGGGCGUAAAGCGCACGUAGGCGGACCGUUAAGUCGGGGGUGAAAUCCCGGGGCUCAACUCCGGAACUGCCUUCGAUACUGGCGGUCUGGAGUCCUAGAGAGGUGAGUGGAAUUCCGAGUGUAGAGGUGAAAUUCGUAGAUAUUCGGAGGAACACCUGUGGCGAAGGCGGCUCACUGGCCAGGUACUGACGCUGAGGUGCGAAAGCGUGGGGAGCAAACAGGAUUAGAUACCCUAGUAGUCC